GACAUUGGACAUUGACUCAAACAGGUACGCUCUUCAAAUCCUAAUUGGUGUUUUUGCAGUUAGAGAGAAAUUUGUUUUGUAAGAAACUGAGUAUAAAAUCUUGAGCUUCCUCAUUCUCUAUCAUUAAUCCUUAUGUUGAUUCAAAGACUAUAGUUAUGUCUUGCUAAGUAUAUCUAGAUACAUAUGCUUUGUUUCCUGUGUUGCUCUGUUUUCAAUGAUAUAUGCAUGUUGUGACAUCUACGGUCAAGAAUUUGAAAUAGACACAAGCUUUUUUUGUGAGAAUAUGUCUCUAAACUCUAAGGUAAGCAUUGUAAGAAACUCAUGAUUGUGACGAGUGAAAGAAUGGGUAGAUGUUGAUUUUGGCUUUUGAGGUAAAAAUCUCAUUGUCAUUUUCCUAAAUUAUUUUGAGGUGAACAAUGUUAAUACUUUUUCUUGCUUAUCUCUGUCCAUGGAAAGACUUGAGCUUUAUUGUAGACCGAUGAUGAAAAAAGUACAAAGCGUGUGGACCUGUUUUCACACACUGCAUCAGCAAAAAUCCAAGAUUUGUGAAAGGACAAGACAUGGUUUCCCAUAAAUAUCACAUGAAGAUAUUUCUAGUCUACACAUGUAGACAGAAAGAUCUGACAAUCACAAUAAUUCAAUACAGUACUGCGCAAGGGGCAGAUAUUUUGUGACCAGAGCCAUCAAGAGAGGUUUCAAGAUUCUGCAAUGGGGAAAGCUGAGCCGAUACGGUUGUUGCCAAGUCGGUAACAUUUGACAUUGACAUUGUAUGGACCCAACUGAAUGUGGUUAUCUUCUGUGCCCAUGAAGAAACACAUGGUGUAUAGAGCCAACUCGAACUCUGGACUUACUCCAACUAGAGUACUUGAGACUGAUUUUAGAACACCGUUCCACUCGAAUUGGAUUGUUAGCAGCUGAGUCUCUGAAUCAGGCUGCAUACGAAGCAAAAGUGUGGUUUCUCGGUCAGUCACCGGUUUUGAAGUACUUAUAUUUGGAGGACAUAUUUAGCAUUGAACGAAGCUAUGGUACUUACAAUUUCACCGCGACGUCGGGGAAAUAUAUAGCCUUGAUAAUCUACAGUUCCUUUGGCUUCCUCCAAGUAAAACUACAAGAAAAGAGAGCCAAUUUAAUCGGUUGUAAGUUUUACUGUUUUGAAUCGGACUUUCUUAGAGAUUUGAAUUCAUGGUAGGUGGAGGACAAAAAGUGUUUUACCUGAAGCCAGUUAUGGAAUCCAG
This 1235-nucleotide long non-coding RNA is filed under the name Arabidopsis thaliana (thale cress). Its description in RNAcentral is "ncRNA (AT4G17098)". Lineage: Eukaryota; Viridiplantae; Streptophyta; Magnoliopsida; Brassicales; Brassicaceae. The record is from RNAcentral.